GGGUGCGAUCAUACUAGCACUAAUGCACCGAAUCCCAUCAGAACUCCGAAGUUUAGCGUGCUUAAGUGAGUGUAGUACUAAGAUGGGCCUUGUCACAGGAAUUUCACAGACACAUGCAAUCC
This 122-nucleotide ribosomal RNA is filed under the name Cephalotus follicularis. The record is from RNAcentral. Lineage: Eukaryota; Viridiplantae; Streptophyta; Magnoliopsida; Oxalidales; Cephalotaceae.